UACGUAGGGUGCGAGCGUUGUCCGGAAUUACUGGGCGUAAAGAGCUCGUAGGUGGUUUGUCGCGUUGUUCGUGAAAUCUCACGGCUUAACUGUGAGCGUGCGGGCGAUACGGGCAGACUAGAGUUCGGCAGGGGAGACUGGAAUUCCUGGUGUAGCGGUGAAAUGCGCAGAUAUCAGGAGGAACACCGGUGGCGAAGGCGGGUCUCUGGGCCGAUACUGACGCUGAGGAGCGAAAGCGUGGGGAGCGAACAGG
This 253-nucleotide ribosomal RNA is filed under the name uncultured bacterium. Its description in RNAcentral is "partial 16S ribosomal RNA". It matches the Rfam family "Bacterial small subunit ribosomal RNA", at positions 524 to 776 of the family's 1533-position model. The record is from RNAcentral.